UCCUACGGGAGGCAGCAGUGGGGAAUGUUGCACAAUGGGGGAAACCCUGAUGCAGCGACGCCGCGUGAGUGAAGAAGUAUUUCGGUAUGUAAAGCUCUAUCAGCAGGGAAGAUAAUGACGGUACCUGACUAAGAAGCCCCGGCUAACUACGUGCCAGCAGCCGCGGUAAUACGUAGGGGGCAAGCGUUAUCCGGAUUUACUGGGUGUAAAGGGCGUGCAGCCGGAGAGGCAAGUCAGAUGUGAAAUCCGCGGGCUCAACCCGCGAACUGCAUUUGAAACUGCUUCCCUUGGGUAUCGGAGAGGUA
This 305-nucleotide ribosomal RNA is filed under the name uncultured bacterium. Its description in RNAcentral is "bacterial SSU rRNA". It matches the Rfam family "Bacterial small subunit ribosomal RNA", at positions 337 to 659 of the family's 1533-position model. The record is from RNAcentral.